This is a long non-coding RNA of Drosophila miranda, 539 nucleotides long. RefSeq lists it as uncharacterized. NCBI's taxonomy places the organism in Eukaryota, Metazoa, Arthropoda, Insecta, Diptera, Drosophilidae. The transcript has 2 exons. The record is from RefSeq and is a predicted model, not a curated record.
UGGAAAUUUGUAUCACAUUCGUUUAUUUAAACAGCUUCGACGAGAUGGCCGGAGACGUGAAAAAAGCUCCGAUUAAGCGUGUUAUAUGCUGUGUGUGUGCUUGACCUCGUAGCAGGCGAUGAUCGACGACGACGCUCGCUAAUAAGCAGGUGGACCAAAGGCCACUGGCACAGACACCACUCAGUGUUUGCACAGCAGACUGAUAGCGGAAGCAGGAAGGAACUGCUACUGGGAGCUGGGAGUGAAGAUAUAUGAGCCAUUUGUCGAAUCUACUAAUUUUGACUCGGAAAUUCUGGCAGCACUGGUGGAAGUCUUGCCAGACAACCGUACAUCAGCUGUUCGAGAGCCAUAUGUUCUGUGUGUGUGCACAGUGGAAUAUUGGAAACUAUAUUUGGGUAAAACCUGCAUUUCAGAGGUCUACAAUGUUCUAUGAAACAAUAUCUAAAGAACAUAGUAGUUGACUUAAAGAAUAAAUUGUUUUAAUUGCAGUAAUCGUAUCUAGGCUCCAUUAAAAUAAAUUUGUUAGAGUAUUGGCUCUA